CCAAAGGAGCAUUCUAUAACAGAAAAAUAGCUACAGUAUUGAGGAACAGUUAACUAAUGGUUUAAGAAUGCGUUGUACUGUGUUAUGUAUUUGAAAAAUGUGUCAGGCCUAAUUUCAAACCGCAAUGCUCGACUCAGUAUUUGAUUCGUGAAGCAAAGUGUUGAGUGUUUCGAAACAAGAAUGUUACGUGAGCUUCAUUGCGUCACCGAGGAAGGUUUCUUCAUCUAGAUUGCAUUCGACAGCCUUCAGUCACGCAAAACAUUUGGCGUCUUGCAGAUCUAUAACAAACAGUGAGGUAUCAUUAUGCCAACCGGGUACGGAACUAUUCCAGGGAGUUGUGAUCCCCACAAAUGUCCCCCAAACAGGGUGAAAGAUGUCUGUGUUGGGUUUCUCCGGUUACUUUGUAUAUUGUUCGCGCUCUUGACGUGGACGGCCGGCAUAUUGCUCCUGAUCUACGCUGAAGAUGCAAAAAUGUGUUUUUCACACAGACUGACUGCCACACGUACCCGAUUAUUGGAUUCGCUAGACAAAACUGCCUAACGCCUGGAAACCCGUGAUCUCCUGGGAGCAACAUUGAACCAUGCAGUCAACUUUGGAAUAUUCUUACUGAUGCAUUAUUUAAACUUCUGUUUAAGCACUUUUUAAAACAUUUUAUCUUUUAUAAUUGGUUUUUAACUGUAUUAUUAAACUUUAAAAAUUUGGUGUAACACGUACAAUGUACCCUAAAUAGCUAAAAUAAAUAAAGGCUUUAAAA
Long non-coding RNA from Procambarus clarkii (red swamp crayfish), 754 nucleotides. RefSeq lists it as uncharacterized. The record is from RefSeq and is a predicted model, not a curated record. Lineage: Eukaryota; Metazoa; Arthropoda; Malacostraca; Decapoda; Cambaridae.